CCAAUAGCGUAUAUUAAAGUUGUUGCAGUUAAAAAGCUCGUAGUUGAAUUUCGGGAUCAAUAUGCUGGUCGUGCCUUUGGUACGUACUGGCAUUAUUGGUUUCUCCUUUCUGAUGAAUCACGAUGUCAUUAAUUUGGUGUCAUGGGGAAUCAGGACUGUUACUUUGAAAAAAUUAGAGUGUUUAAAGCAGGCUUACGCUUGAAUACAUUAGCAUGGAAUAAUGAAAUAGGACGUUUAAUUCUAUUUUGUUGGUUUCUAGGAUUGACGUAAUGAUUAAUAGGGAUAGUUGGGGGCAUUAGUAUUCACUUGUCAGAGGUGAAAUUCUUGGAUUUAUUGAAGACUAAUUACUGCGAAAGCAUUUGCCAAGGAUGUUUUCAUUAAUCAAGAACGAAAGUUAGGGGAUCGAAGACGAUCAGAUACCGUCGUAGUCUUAACCAUAAACUAUGCCGACUAGGGAUCGGAUGAUGUUAAUUUAUGACUCAUUCGGCGCCUUACGGGAAACAAAGUGUUUGGGUUC
This 517-nucleotide unclassified non-coding RNA is filed under the name uncultured Glomeromycotina. Its description in RNAcentral is "SSU rRNA". It matches the Rfam family "Eukaryotic small subunit ribosomal RNA", at positions 591 to 1114 of the family's 1831-position model. Lineage: Eukaryota; Fungi; Glomeromycota. The record is from RNAcentral.